Molecule: ribosomal RNA, 248 nt
Filed under: Scrippsiella hangoei
Lineage: Eukaryota; Dinophyceae; Peridiniales; Peridiniaceae
Description: partial Bacterial small subunit ribosomal RNA
Rfam family: Bacterial small subunit ribosomal RNA
Source: RNAcentral
CGGGUGAGUAAUGCUUAGGAAUCUGCCUAUUAGUGGGGGACAACAUCUCGAAAGGGAUGCUAAUACCGCAUACGUCCUACGGGAGAAAGCAGGGGACCUUCGGGCCUUGCGCUAAUAGAUGAGCCUAAGUCGGAUUAGCUAGUUGGUAGGGUAAAGGCCUACCAAGGCGACGAUCCGUAGCUGGUCUGAGAGGAUGAUCAGCCACAUCGGGACUGAGACACGGCCCGAACUCCUACGGGAGGCAGCAG